GACGGAGGGUGCAAGCGUUGCUCGGAAUCAUUGGGCGUAAAGCGCACGUAGGCGGUUCGUUAAGUCGGAUGUGAAAGCCCCAGGCUCAACUUGGGAAGUGCAUUCGAAACUGGCGAGCUUGAAUAUGGAAGAGGGUCGCGGAAUUCCCGGUGUAGAGGUGAAAUUCGUAGAUAUCGGGAGGAACACCAGUGGCGAAGGCGGCGACCUGGGCCAAUAUUGACGCUGAGGUGCGAAAGCGUGGGGAGCAAACAGG
Molecule: ribosomal RNA, 253 nt
Filed under: uncultured bacterium
Lineage: Bacteria
Description: partial 16S ribosomal RNA
Rfam family: Bacterial small subunit ribosomal RNA
Source: RNAcentral